GUAUAUAUAGUUUAAAAAAAUUCUAGAUUGUGAUUCUAGAGAUGAAAGUUAAACCCUUUCUAUAAACC
Molecule: transfer RNA, 68 nt
Filed under: Batrachoseps nigriventris (black-bellied slender salamander)
Lineage: Eukaryota; Metazoa; Chordata; Amphibia; Caudata; Plethodontidae
Description: tRNA-His
Rfam family: tRNA
About the family: Transfer RNA (tRNA) molecules are approximately 80 nucleotides in length. Their secondary structure includes four short double-helical elements and three loops (D, anti-codon, and T loops).
Source: RNAcentral